GAUGAACGCUGGCGGCGUGCUUAACACAUGCAAGUCGAACGACGAAGCCCAGCUUGCUGGGUGGAUUAGUGGCGAACGGGUGAGUAACACGUGAGUAACCUGCCCUUAACUCUGGGAUAAGCCUGGGAAACUGGGUCUAAUACCGGAUAGGAGCGCCUACCGCAUGGUGGGUGUUGGAAAGAUUUAUCGGUUUUGGAUGGACUCGCGGCCUAUCAGCUUGUUGGUGAGGUAAUGGCUCACCAAGGCGACGACGGGUAGCCGGCCUGAGAGGGUGACCGGCCACACUGGGACUGAGACACGGCCCAGACUCCUACGGGAGGCAGCAGUGGGGAAUAUUGCACAAUGGGCGAAAGCCUGAUGCAGCGACGCCGCGUGAGGGAUGACGGCCUUCGGGUUGUAAACCUCUUUCAGUAGGGAAGAAGCGAAAGUGACGGUACCUGCAGAAGAAGCACCGGCUAACUACGUG
RNAcentral lists this ribosomal RNA (466 nucleotides) under uncultured bacterium. Its description in RNAcentral is "partial 16S ribosomal RNA". It matches the Rfam family "Bacterial small subunit ribosomal RNA", at positions 28 to 507 of the family's 1533-position model. The record is from RNAcentral.